GCCUUCGUAGUGUAGUUAGAAGCAUACUAAUCUAGUAUUUGAGAGGUCCGGGGUUCGAGUCUCGGCGAGGGCA
This 73-nucleotide transfer RNA is filed under the name Stegodyphus mimosarum. It matches the Rfam family "tRNA". From Rfam's summary of the family: Transfer RNA (tRNA) molecules are approximately 80 nucleotides in length. The record is from Rfam by way of RNAcentral. Lineage: Eukaryota; Metazoa; Arthropoda; Arachnida; Araneae; Eresidae.